Molecule: long non-coding RNA, 2606 nt
Filed under: Anthonomus grandis grandis
Lineage: Eukaryota; Metazoa; Arthropoda; Insecta; Coleoptera; Curculionidae
Description: uncharacterized LOC126742545
Source: RNAcentral
UAUAACCUUCUUGUAAGUAACAGCAAUAAUGAAUAAAUUAUUCAUUACUGUUGUAUUAUUUGCAAAUAAGUUAAAAAACUCUAGUCCUUCAUUAAAAUUGAUGAGUUUACCUAAUGCAAUUGAAGGGCACAGGGGUAAAAGGGGCUCAUUGCAAUUUUACUCAAAACUGUGAUAUUUUCAGGAUUGAUAUUUUGAGUAUUUCAUAUGUACUUUUACCUCCCAUAUUCCAAACUAGAUAAAACGUGCUCAUUGAAGAGAAAAUCUGCUUUAAAAAAAAAGCUGUACACGGGUAGAACGAGCUCAUUUAUCGUGUAAACCGAGCAAAAACGGGCUCAUUGUAGAAAUGAGCGCGUUUUUGAAUGCAAUGCGUUUCAACCAUGCUAUUAUUAAAAUUAAUUUGUUCCAAUGUUUAGUAUUAUUGCGUCAGUUGGUCGGUCUGCUAGACGAGAGCGUGCUUGUUUGUUUUCUUUUUUUUUGUUUUAUCCUUAAAACUCAAAAAGUUCUCAUUAUCGAAAGUGGUGAAUACAGCAGUGAUGAAGAACUAAACCUGAAAAAUAGUGUAAUGGAGCCUAGGAGCAAAAAAAGAAAAUCUUACGGCAGAUUAAGGGACGUUAACAAGAAAAUGAGACUCCAAAGUCAUGAAAUGGGCCCUUAUUGCAACUGUUUAAAAAAGUGUUUUGAUGUUGUACCCAGUGAUACAAGAUGUAACAUAUUAAAGCAUUUUAACAUGCUUAGUUCGACUAAUGCUCAAAAUUCAUACCUUAGUGGCUUAAUAUCAGUACUUUCAACGUAAGACAUUGAGAGAAGGUGCUAAGCACUACAGUGCAUCCUUCAAGUACAGGGUGCGAGCUGUGGUAGCAGGUAGCACGGAGGAAUUUGACGUGUGCCGUAAAACAUUUAUUGCUAUACAUGGCAUAUCAAGAAAAAAAGUAGAAAUUUUGGUAGCAAGCUUGAAGGAAACAGGAUAUGCUCCUGAAGAUAAACGAGGUAGGUCCCCAAACCAUUCUAAUAAGCUUCCAGUAGAAACUAUAAGCCUAGUCAGGCAGCAUAUCAAUUCAUUUAAAGGUCGUGGAAGUCAUUAUGGCCUGAAGGACUCUUCUUCAAAAAUAUACCUUUCUGAAGAGCUAAACAUAAAGAAAAUGCAUAAAAUGUUUAAGGAACUUCACCCUGGCAAUAAAAUAUCGUACGAGUCGUACAGGCAGGUGUUUUGCCGUGAUUUCAAUAUCUCCUUUGGUUAUCCACGAACGGAUACUUGUAGCAGCUGUGAUGAGUUCACAAUAAAAAUUAAAAACUUAGAAUCUGAAAAACUGGUGAAAAACUCAUCUGAGGAGAUCUUACGGAUAUCUAGGGAGAUGGAGAGAUUAACUACAGAAAACGAGUUACAUAAGAAAAAAGCGGAACCUUUUUAUAGUAGGAAGAGGAUGGCUAAGAUAAACAGUAAAAAAAAUCUAACAAUUUGUACGGAUUUUGCCAAGAAUCUUCCAGCGCCAAAUAUACCAACAAAUGAUACCUAUUACAAAAGGCAGCUAUCAACAUACGCAUUUAAUGUUCACAUAUUGUCUACCUCUAAGAGCUAUUUUUACGUCUAUCCAGAAACCCAAGGGAAAAAGGGUUCAGAUGAUGAUGUGCUCACUGCUUCAUAACUUCAUAUAUAACCAUCUAGAUCGAGAAGUAAAGCACCUACAAAUAUUUUGUGAUUCAUGCAGUGGCCAACAAAAAAAUUUUACCUUUUUUCGUUUUCUUCAUAACUUAGUCAACAACGAGAAAAAGUUAGAAUCAGCUUCUAUCACGUUCCCCAUCCGAGGACAUUCCUAUAUGGAAUGUGAUAAGAAUUUUGGCCUCGUAAACAAAAAAAGCAGAGCAGAUCUUCCCAAAGACUGGUUGAAAAUAUUGGAAGAAUCCCGCCAUUUCCCAACUCGAUUUACGGUUAUCGAGGUCAAUCACACUUUUUUCCGCAGCUGGGGAAAAUUUCUUGACAAUAGUUACGCAAAAAAGUCGCCAUUCCCAUCUAGACCAAUCAGAGAAAUUGAGCUAAAUAGAGGACCUUUGAUACAGUAUCGCACUACAUAUAAUGGAUGUUGGGAGUCAGCUUCGCUGCAAGGAAAAAACCAAACGUCUUCGCGAUUAGCUGUUCGCCAUCUUCAAGACAACGAAGUUAUGCUACCUGAGUUAAGUUAUGAAGGGCAGCUUCCAAUAUCUGCUGAGAAGUUUCGAGACCUGCAGCAUUUAAAAAAGUUUUGCAACAAAGCAGCACAACAAGACUUUUUUUCAAACCUGCCGCAUCACUAAUUAACGAAUUGGAAUAUUGUUUGGAGCCUUUCGCACUAACGACGAUCGAGGUUAUGAUUACUGUGAAAGAACAGGCUCAUUUUAAUAAAAUGGACCCCUUUUUCCCCUGUCACUUUUGUACCUUUUUUGUAUGCGAUUUUAUUAUUUUUUUGUACUGAACGGAAAUACAAACAGUCUCAAAACACUUAGGGAGUUUGUGUAUUGUUUUAUCUUCACAAAAAAAAGUUAAUUGAUUGAAAAAAGCAACAUAGCGUUCCUAAGCUAGAAUUUCAACCUUAAAAUCGCUCUGCUGAAAAAUCACAAAAAUGCUCACGAGC